CAGAAGGAAACACAAACGCUCUAGUUGGGCCAUUUGUAUUCUCUUUCUCCUCUUUUCACUUUGUCUCUCACUCGAUUUUUCAGUUGGUAGUAAAAAAAAGAGGCGGGGUUGAACAUUCAACAUUUGUUCACCAUGUGCACUGACCUCUCUAAAUCUCUUUAAUUCUUCACUUGGCCGGACCUCAAAUUCACACUUCAUACGCAAAAGGAUUCAGAUUAUGGGAAAUCACUCAUGCUUCAUGAGAAGAAAAGACACAUAUCAAGACGACGCAGGACAGGUGAGUAUGUCACACUCACACACAUAACACAUAUAACUUUAGUUUAAAAAUUGCUGGUUACAAGGUCGAGGUUAGAGCCAAAAAAACAAAAAAACAAAUUAGAAACAUGCAUGAAUACAGAUAAAUGAAUUGCAGUUUUAUUUCUUUUAAUAGUAAACACAUGAUGUUAGAUUCUAGAAGUUUUGAACUCUACAGUAUGUCUUUAAUAUCAGUUCAGUUGUGCAAAUUGUCUCACAUUUCUAAUAAUGUCAGGUUCUCACUGACAUUUAUAUAUAGUCCUAUAUGCGCAGUGAACUAUAAUCUGGAAACACAAUCACAAUCACCUACUUAAUAUGGCAUCACACUGAAUAAUUUACCCCCCAAAAUGUUCUAGUGAUUUCAAUUCCCUUCUCCUGGUUACUGAUUAACAAUCAGAAAGACAACUUCACUUUUUAUUCAUAUAU
Long non-coding RNA from Tachysurus vachellii, 720 nucleotides. RefSeq lists it as uncharacterized. Lineage: Eukaryota; Metazoa; Chordata; Actinopteri; Siluriformes; Bagridae. The record is from RefSeq and is a predicted model, not a curated record. The transcript has 3 exons.